This 218-nucleotide unclassified non-coding RNA is filed under the name Hevea brasiliensis (rubber tree). Lineage: Eukaryota; Viridiplantae; Streptophyta; Magnoliopsida; Malpighiales; Euphorbiaceae. The record is from RNAcentral.
AAAGCUCCCAAGUUCGAUGUUUCUUUCUCAAGUUUGAACAAUGAUAUUGUUAUUAGGAAAUUGUGAAGAAGGAAAUGGCCUCAUUUAUAGAACUGUGAUGAGAGUGUCACCACCGCUUAUUUAUUGUAGUUUUCCGUUAUAUCAAUAAGUAUUUCAUACAUGAGAAAUAUAUUUUUGGAUUUGAAUCUUACAUCAUUGAUUUAAAUCUUUAUGUUGAG